This 74-nucleotide transfer RNA is filed under the name Rhizobium leguminosarum bv. viciae. RNAcentral's name for it is "tRNA-Arg". The stretch from base 10 to 63 matches the Rfam family "tRNA", at positions 9 to 63 of the family's 71-position model. From Rfam's summary of the family: Transfer RNA (tRNA) molecules are approximately 80 nucleotides in length. Their secondary structure includes four short double-helical elements and three loops (D, anti-codon, and T loops). Further hydrogen bonds mediate the characteristic L-shaped molecular structure. tRNAs have two regions of fundamental functional importance: the anti-codon, which is responsible for specific mRNA codon recognition, and the 3' end, to which the tRNAs corresponding amino acid is attached (by aminoacyl-tRNA synthetases). tRNAs cope with the degeneracy of the genetic code in two manners: having more than one tRNA (with a specific anti-codon) for a particular amino acid; and 'wobble' base-pairing, i.e. permitting non-standard base-pairing at the 3rd anti-codon position. The record is from RNAcentral. Lineage: Bacteria; Pseudomonadati; Pseudomonadota; Alphaproteobacteria; Hyphomicrobiales; Rhizobiaceae.
GAUAGGUCGAGUUAGUGGAAAUCACCUGCCUUCUAAGCAGGUUGUCGCAGGUUCGAUUCCUGCAGGGGUCGCCA